This is an RNA transcript of Arabidopsis lyrata subsp. lyrata, 1072 nucleotides long. It is a transcript of the gene named peptidyl-prolyl cis-trans isomerase FKBP20-2, chloroplastic, with no coding region annotated. NCBI's taxonomy places the organism in Eukaryota, Viridiplantae, Streptophyta, Magnoliopsida, Brassicales, Brassicaceae. The transcript has 7 exons. The record is from RefSeq and is a predicted model, not a curated record.
AAUUAAACGUUAGGAUAACAUUGGGAUUUUUUGCAGGAAUCGCCGGAGGGAGAAGCUAUGGUGACGAUUCUAUCAACUCCUCCUCUCUCUCCAAGACUUACAUUUCUCUGUGAAACAAAACUGUCAUUAUCUCGGAGCAGCAAACGCUCGGUAUGUUGUUCAUUGAGUGAAGAACCAAAAGACCAAAGCUUGAGUCGGAGAAGUCUAGUUUAUGUUUUGGUUGCUUCGCCGUGUUUGUUGUUUCCGGCGUUAUCUUCAUCUGCGAAGACUAAAUCAAAGAGCCCUUAUGAUGAGAGACGGUUACUAGAACAGAACAAGAGGAUACAGAGAGAGAACAAUGCUCCUGACGAAUUUCCUAACUUUGUUAGAGAAGGUUUUGAGGUUAAGGUAGUAGCUUCAGAGAAUUACAUCAAGGCUGAUUCUGGCCUCAUAUAUCGAGAUUUCGAUGUUGGUCAAGGUGAUUCCCCAAAAGAUGGUCAGCAGGUGACUUUUCACUACAUUGGCUACAAUGAGUCUGGAAGGCGAAUAGAUAGCACUUACAUACAAGGCUCUCCUGCUAGAAUUCGCAUGGGGACCAAUGCACUUGUUCCAGGAAACAGAUUGAGGAUUUUUAAUACUAUAUGGAUAAUGAUGAUGCAGGAUUUGAAAUGGGAAUUCGUGACAUGAAGCCCGGUGGGCGAAGAAGGAUUAUUAUCCCUCCAGAAUUGGGACCUCCGGUGGGACCUUCGACCUUCUUCAGCUCCAAGCAAUUUGAAGUUUUCGACGUGGAGUUGCUCAGUAUCCAGAAUUGUGAGAGGAGGACAAUAAUAGGUUUCUACUCAGACGUCACAUGCAGUUAACUUCUAAAUGUUGGUCACCACUAAGCUUCAAUGAAUCUGCAUUCACCAUUACUCGAAACUCUAUAUCUUCACGGCAGAUGAAAACUGCAAAGAAACAAAAAGAAGAAAUCUUCUUUGCUUAGGCAUUUAUCUUAUGGGUUUCAUGUAGAGGUGCACAAUUACAUAGACAGAGAUAAAGAUCGUGUAAAGUCUCGACCUUUUUCAUAAUCGUAGUUUACUUUUGUUGCUUGGUU